UUUAUGGAGAGUUUGAUCCUGGCUCAGGAUGAACGCUGGCGGCGUGCCUAAUACAUGCAAGUCGAGCGAACAGACAAGGAGCUUGCUCCUUUGACGUUAGCGGCGGACGGGUGAGUAACACGUGGGUAACCUACCUAUAAGACUGGGAUAACUUCGGGAAACCGGAGCUAAUACCGGAUAAUAUUUCGAACCGCAUGGUUCGAUAGUGAAAGAUGGUUUUGCUAUCACUUAUAGAUGGACCCGCGCCGUAUUAGCUAGUUGGUAAGGUAACGGCUUACCAAGGCGACGAUACGUAGCCGACCUGAGAGGGUGAUCGGCCACACUGGAACUGAGACACGGUCCAGACUCCUACGGGAGGCAGCAGUAGGGAAUCUUCCGCAAUGGGCGAAAGCCUGACGGAGCAACGCCGCGUGAGUGAUGAAGGUCUUCGGAUCGUAAAACUCUGUUAUUAGGGAAGAACAUACGUGUAAGUAACUAUGCACGUCUUGACGGUACCUAAUCAGAAAGCCACGGCUAACUACGUGCCAGCAGCCGCGGUAAUACGUAGGUGGCAAGCGUUAUCCGGAAUUAUUGGGCGUAAAGCGCGCGUAGGCGGUUUUUUAAGUCUGAUGUGAAAGCCCACGGCUCAACCGUGGAGGGUCAUUGGAAACUGGAAAACUUGAGUGCAGAAGAGGAAAGUGGAAUUCCAUGUGUAGCGGUGAAAUGCGCAGAGAUAUGGAGGAACACCAGUGGCGAAGGCGACUUUCUGGUCUGUAACUGACGCUGAUGUGCGAAAGCGUGGGGAUCAAACAGGAUUAGAUACCCUGGUAGUCCACGCCGUAAACGAUGAGUGCUAAGUGUUAGGGGGUUUCCGCCCCUUAGUGCUGCAGCUAACGCAUUAAGCACUCCGCCUGGGGAGUACGACCGCAAGGUUGAAACUCAAAGGAAUUGACGGGGACCCGCACAAGCGGUGGAGCAUGUGGUUUAAUUCGAAGCAACGCGAAGAACCUUACCAAAUCUUGACAUCCUUUGACAACUCUAGAGAUAGAGCUUUCCCCUUCGGGGGACAAAGUGACAGGUGGUGCAUGGUUGUCGUCAGCUCGUGUCGUGAGAUGUUGGGUUAAGUCCCGCAACGAGCGCAACCCUUAAGCUUAGUUGCCAUCAUUAAGUUGGGCACUCUAAGUUGACUGCCGGUGACAAACCGGAGGAAGGUGGGGAUGACGUCAAAUCAUCAUGCCCCUUAUGAUUUGGGCUACACACGUGCUACAAUGGACAAUACAAAGGGCAGCGAAACCGCGAGGUCAAGCAAAUCCCAUAAAGUUGUUCUCAGUUCGGAUUGUAGUCUGCAACUCGACUACAUGAAGCUGGAAUCGCUAGUAAUCGUAGAUCAGCAUGCUACGGUGAAUACGUUCCCGGGUCUUGUACACACCGCCCGUCACACCACGAGAGUUUGUAACACCCGAAGCCGGUGGAGUAACCAUUUGGAGCUAGCCGUCGAAGGUGGGACAAAUGAUUGGGGUGAAGUCGUAACAAGGUAGCCGUAUCGGAAGGUGCGGCUGGAUCACCUCCUUU
This 1551-nucleotide ribosomal RNA is filed under the name Staphylococcus haemolyticus. RNAcentral's name for it is "bacterial SSU rRNA". It matches the Rfam family "Bacterial small subunit ribosomal RNA". Lineage: Bacteria; Bacillati; Bacillota; Bacilli; Caryophanales; Staphylococcaceae. The record is from RNAcentral.